GAUGAACGCUGGCGGUCUGCUUAACACAUGCAAGUCGAACGGAAUCCUUCGGGAUUUAGUGGCGGACGGGUGAGUAACGCGUGAGGAUCUGCCCAUAGGUUCGGGACGACAGUUGGAAACGACUGCUAAUACCGGAUGUGCCGGAAGGUGAAAGCUUUAGUGCCUAUGGAUGAGCUCGCGUCUGAUCAGCUAGUUGGAGUGGUAACGGCACCCCAAGGCGACGAUCAGUAGCUGGUCUGAGAGGAUGAGCAGCCACACUGGGACUGAGACACGGCCCAGACUCCUACGGGAGGCAGCAGUGGGGAAUUUUCCGCAAUGGGCGAAAGCCUGACGGAGCAAUACCGCGUGAGGGAGGAAGGUCUUUGGAUUGUAAACCUCUUUUAUUAGGGAAGAAAAAAUGACGGUACCUAAUGAAUAAGCAUCGGCUAACUCCGUGCCAGCAGCCGCGGUAAU
This 453-nucleotide ribosomal RNA is filed under the name uncultured cyanobacterium. RNAcentral describes it as "bacterial SSU rRNA". It matches the Rfam family "Bacterial small subunit ribosomal RNA", at positions 28 to 524 of the family's 1533-position model. The record is from RNAcentral. Lineage: Bacteria; Bacillati; Cyanobacteriota.